UCACUUACCUGGACGGGGUCAAUGGGCGAUCAAGAAGGUCCAUGGCCUAGGUUGGUGACCUCCAUUGCACUCAGGAGGGGUGCCCGCCUAAGGUCGGCCCAAGUGGUCGAGCCUACGUCAUAAUUUGUGGCAGUGGAGGCCUGCGUUCGCGCGGCCUCUGC
Molecule: small nuclear RNA, 161 nt
Filed under: Helianthus annuus (common sunflower)
Lineage: Eukaryota; Viridiplantae; Streptophyta; Magnoliopsida; Asterales; Asteraceae
Description: U1 spliceosomal RNA
Rfam family: U1 spliceosomal RNA
About the family: U1 is a small nuclear RNA (snRNA) component of the spliceosome (involved in pre-mRNA splicing).
Source: RNAcentral